This 468-nucleotide ribosomal RNA is filed under the name uncultured bacterium. RNAcentral describes it as "partial 16S ribosomal RNA". It matches the Rfam family "Bacterial small subunit ribosomal RNA", at positions 28 to 507 of the family's 1533-position model. The record is from RNAcentral.
GACGAACGCUGGCGGCGUGCUUAACACAUGCAAGUCGAACGGAAAGGCCCUGCGUUUGUGGGGUGCUCGAGUGGCGAACGGGUGAGUAACACGUGAGUAACCUGCCCUUGACUUUGGGAUAACUUCAGGAAACUGGGGCUAAUACCGGAUAGGAGCUCCUGCUGCAUGGUGGGGGUUGGAAAGUUUCGGCGGUUGGGGAUGGACUCGCGGCUUAUCAGCUUGUUGGUGGGGUAGUGGCUUACCAAGGCUUUGACGGGUAGCCGGCCUGAGAGGGUGACCGGCCACAUUGGGACUGAGAUACGGCCCAGACGCCUACGGGAGGCAGCAGUGGGGAAUAUUGCACAAUGGGCGGAAGCCUGAUGCAGCAACGCCGCGUGCGGGAUGACGGCCUUCGGGUUGUAAACCGCUUUCGCCUGUGACGAAGCGUGAGUGACGGUAAUGGGUAAAGAAGCACCGGCUAACUACGUG